CACCAGCACCUCAAGUGGUCAGGAUGAUUAUUGGGCCUAAAGCAUCCGUAGCCGGCUCUGUAGGUUUUCGGUUAAAUCUGUACGCUUAACGUACAGGCUGCCGGGAAUACUGCAUAGCUAGGAAGUGGGAGAGGUAGACGGUACUCGGUAGGAAGGGGUAAAAUCCUUUGAUCUAUUGAUGACCACCUGUGGCGAAGGCGGUCUACCAGAACACGUUCGACGGUGAGGGAUGAAAGCUGGGGGAGCAAACCGG
This 253-nucleotide ribosomal RNA is filed under the name uncultured archaeon. Its description in RNAcentral is "partial 16S ribosomal RNA". It matches the Rfam family "Archaeal small subunit ribosomal RNA", at positions 474 to 727 of the family's 1478-position model. The record is from RNAcentral.